CACACACAGAGAUUGCCCCUGCACACACACACAGAGCUAGCCCCUGCACACACACAGACUGCCCCUGCACACACAUACACACACAUACACACACAGAGACAGCCCCUGCACACACACACACCGACGGCCCCUGCACCCACACAGACUGCUCUUGCACACACACACACUCACACACAUACACAGAGACUGCCCUUGCACACACACACACAGAGACUACCCUUGCGCACACACAGAGACUGCCCCUGUACCCCACACAGACUGCCCCUGCUGCCUCUGCUUGCCUAUUUUUUUUUUUUUUGUAUUUUUAGUAGAGACGGGGUUUCACCGUGUCAGCCAGGAUGGUCUCGAUCUCCUGACCUUGUGAUCC
Molecule: long non-coding RNA, 367 nt
Filed under: Homo sapiens (human)
Lineage: Eukaryota; Metazoa; Chordata; Mammalia; Primates; Hominidae
Description: non-protein coding lnc-IFT122-1:1
Source: RNAcentral